This 484-nucleotide ribosomal RNA is filed under the name uncultured bacterium. Its description in RNAcentral is "partial 16S ribosomal RNA". It matches the Rfam family "Bacterial small subunit ribosomal RNA", at positions 28 to 507 of the family's 1533-position model. The record is from RNAcentral.
AUUGAACGCUGGCGGCAUGCUUUACACAUGCAAGUCGAACGGCAGCGCGGGCUUCGGCCUGGCGGCGAGUGGCGAACGGGUGAGUAAUGCAUCGGAACGUGCCCAGUAGUGGGGGAUAGCCCGGCGAAAGCCGGAUUAAUACCGCAUACGACCUGAGGGUGAAAGCGGGGGACCGAAAGGCCUCGCGCUCUUGGAGCUUCCGAUGUCGGAUUAGCUAGUUGGUGGGGUAAAGGCUUACCAAGGCGACGAUCCGUAGCUGGUCUGAGAGGACGACCAGCCACACUGGGACUGAGACACGGCCCAGACUCCUACGGGAGGCAGCAGUGGGGAAUUUUGGACAAUGGGGGCAACCCUGAUCCAGCCAUGCCGCGUGCGGGAAGAAGGCCUUCGGGUUGUAAAGCGCUUUUGUUCGGGAAGAAAUCCUCUGGGCUAAUACCCCGGGGGGAUGACGGUACCGGAAGAAUAAGCACCGGCUAACUACGUG